Molecule: ribosomal RNA, 497 nt
Filed under: uncultured bacterium
Lineage: Bacteria
Description: partial 16S ribosomal RNA
Rfam family: Bacterial small subunit ribosomal RNA
Source: RNAcentral
GAUGAACGCUGGCGGCGUGCCUAAUACAUGCAAGUCGAGCGAACAGAUGAGGAGCUUGCUCCUCUGACGUUAGCGGCGGACGGGUGAGUAACACGUGGAUAACCUACCUAUAAGACUGGGAUAACUUCGGGAAACCGGAGCUAAUACCGGAUAAUAUAUUGAACCGCAUGGUUCAAUAGUGAAAGACGGUUUUGCUGUCACUUAUAGAUGGAUCCGCGCCGCAUUAGCUAGUUGGUAAGGUAACGGCUUACCAAGGCAACGAUGCGUAGCCGACCUGAGAGGGUGAUCGGCCACACUGGAACUGAGACACGGUCCAGACUCCUAAGGGAGGCAGCAGUAGGGAAUCUUCCGCAAUGGGCGAAAGCCUGACGGAGCAACGCCGCGUGAGUGAUGAAGGUCUUCGGAUCGUAAAACUCUGUUAUUAGGGAAGAACAAAUGUGUAAGUAACUAUGCACGUCUUGACGGUACCUAAUCAGAAAGCCACGGCUAACUACGUA